GUGUAUCCAUUCUUGAAACGAGUAACUCUCAGAACCAGUGGUCACUGAACCCAUCCUGGUAACGCACUCAUAUUGUUACCUCGUCUUUAUUUUCAGUAGCAGAGGUGGGACAAUAAUGUGCACUUAAGAGAAAUCUGCCCACUGACACCCUCUGUUGUGAUUCAGACACCACAAUGAGUAAGUGCAAUUAUGCUGGAUCAGGAUGGGACUGACAGAACAAGAAAGCUCCCCACACGACAGUGAAGCAAAGGGAGUUGUUGCUAGAAUUAGUGUGGGUCAGCACAAAUCUCUCCUAUGUAUUCACUGUAAACCUGCCUGGUUACUUCUACACAACUGUUGACUUAAAACAGCUAACUUUUCAUUUUUCUCAUCUGAAACAUAAGGAUAUUUAGAGAGUAAAACGUGAAACUGUCCUUUCAAAAAGAGAAAGGAUUAGUUUAGUAAGAGAAUGCUGUCCUUAUACCCCUCAAUAACAUUAUUAUUUCUAUUUCUCCUUUACAGCUAUGAAUUCCAGGUGAAGCCCAAAAAUCCACUUGGCGAGGGCCCCGCCAGCAACACAGUGGCGUUUAGUACGGAAUCAGCUGACCCAAGAGUGAGUGAGCCAAUUUCUGCAGGGAGAGACGCCAUCUGGACUGAAAGACCCUUCAAUUCAGACUCUUACUCAGAAUGUAAAGGCAAGCAGUAUGUUAAAAGGACGUGGUAUAAGAAGUUUGUCGGAGUGCAGCUGUGUAACUCUCUCAGA
This 742-nucleotide long non-coding RNA is filed under the name Rattus norvegicus (Norway rat). Its description in RNAcentral is "long non-coding RNA NONRATT006944". The record is from RNAcentral. Lineage: Eukaryota; Metazoa; Chordata; Mammalia; Rodentia; Muridae.